CUGGGCUCGAACGGCUGGUCAACGCCGGUGGAAACAUCGGUACCCCGCAAGGGGGUCCAGUCGAGGUGCUGCAUGGCUGUCGUCAGCUCGUGUCGUGAGAUGUUGGGUUAAGUCCUGCAACGAGCGCAACCCUUGUCCUGGGUUGCCAUGCCGAAAGGCGGAACUCGCAGGAGACUGCCAGCGAUAAGCUGGAGGAAGGUGGGGAUGACGUCAAGUCCUCAUGGCCUUUAUGUCCAGGGCUACACACGUGCUACAAUGGACGGUACAAAGCGCAGCAAACCCGCGAGGGGGAGCCAAUCGCAAAAAACCGUUCUCAGCUCGGAUUGCAGGCUGCAACUCGCCUGCAUGAAGCUGGAAUCGCUAGUAAUGGCAGAUCAGCACGCUGCCGUGAAUACGUUCCC
RNAcentral lists this ribosomal RNA (401 nucleotides) under uncultured Actinomycetes bacterium. Its description in RNAcentral is "bacterial SSU rRNA". It matches the Rfam family "Bacterial small subunit ribosomal RNA", at positions 975 to 1375 of the family's 1533-position model. Lineage: Bacteria; Bacillati; Actinomycetota; Actinomycetes. The record is from RNAcentral.